RNAcentral lists this ribosomal RNA (486 nucleotides) under uncultured bacterium. Its description in RNAcentral is "partial 16S ribosomal RNA". It matches the Rfam family "Bacterial small subunit ribosomal RNA", at positions 30 to 507 of the family's 1533-position model. The record is from RNAcentral.
AUUGAACGCUGGCGGCAUGCCUUACACAUGCAAGUCGAACGGCAGCACGGGUGCUUGCACCUGGUGGCGAGUGGCGAACGGGUGAGUAAUACAUCGGAACAUGUCCUGUAGUGGGGGAUAGCCCGGCGAAAGCCGGAUUAAUACCGCAUACGAUCUACGGAUGAAAGCGGGGGACCUUCGGGCCUCGCGCUAUAGGGUUGGCCGAUGGCUGAUUAGCUAGUUGGUGGGGUAAAGGCCUACCAAGGCGACGAUCAGUAGCUGGUCUGAGAGGACGACCAGCCACACUGGGACUGAGACACGGCCCAGACUCCUACGGGAGGCAGCAGUGGGGAAUUUUGGACAAUGGGCGAAAGCCUGAUCCAGCGAUGCCGCGUGUGUGAAGAAGGCCUUCGGGUUGUAAAGCACUUUUGUCCGGAAAGAAAUCCUUGGCCCUAAUACGGUCGGGGGAUGACGGUACCGGAAGAAUAAGCACCGGCUAACUACGUG